Molecule: ribosomal RNA, 497 nt
Filed under: uncultured bacterium
Lineage: Bacteria
Description: partial 16S ribosomal RNA
Rfam family: Bacterial small subunit ribosomal RNA
Source: RNAcentral
GACGAACGCUGGCGGCGCGCCUAAUACAUGCAAGUAGAACGCUGAAGCGAGGAGCUUGCUCUUCUUGGAUGAGUUGCGAACGGGUGAGUAACGCGUAGGUAACCUGCCUUGUAGCGGGGGAUAACUAUUGGAAACGAUAGCUAAUACCGCAUAACAAUGGAUGACACAUGUCAUUUAUUUGAAAGGGGCAAUUGCUCCACUACAAGAUGGACCUGCGUUGUAUUAGCUAGUAGGUGAGGUAAUGGCUCACCUAGGCGACGAUACAUAGCCGACCUGAGAGGGUGAUCGGCCACACUGGGACUGAGACACGGCCCAGACUCCUACGGGAGGCAGCAGUAGGGAAUCUUCGGCAAUGGGGGCAACCCUGACCGAGCAACGCCGCGUGAGUGAAGAAGGGUUUCGGAUCGUAAAGCUCUGUUGUAAGUCAAGAACGGGUGUGAGAGUGGAAAGUUCACACUGUGACGGUAGCUUACCAGAAAGGGACGGCUAACUACGUG